UCCAUCUCUGCUGGGGGAUAUGAAGUAAAUGAUCACGGAGGAGCCAGAUACAAUUUUGGCGAUAGGGCGCAUAGACGACGUUGCAGGUCCUCUGUCUGAGUCUUCUGCUGGCCAUUCCAUUGGUGGCAUUCUUGUCAGCUACGAGCACAGUUACAAAUUCAGCAAAACCUAGGGCUUGAUUCUAUUUGCAAGCUCAGGAUUAUUUUUGUGUCAGCAAUUAGCUGCGGAGUUGCCAUAGAAACAACGAUGCCUAGGUACUACUGUGACUACUGUGACACUUAUCUGACCCAUGACUCACCAUCAGUAAGAAAGCAGCAUAAUGCAGGUUACAAACAUAAGGCAAAUGUGAGAACCUACUACCAGCAAUUUGAGGAGCAACAAACCCAGAGCCUAAUUGACCAAAGGAUCAAGGAACAUCUUGGGCAAGCUGCAGCAUUUCAGCAGGUUGGUGCAGCUUUUAAUCAGCACCUGCUGACUCAGAGGCCUCGCUUUCCAAUCUUGCCUACACCAGGAGUGCCAAUUGCUGGAAAUGCUCAAAUUCUGGGAAGUCAACCACUAAUGCCAGGGAUCAGACCUCCCAUGUUGCCUAGACCAGUUCCUGGUGCUCCAGGAUAUGCUUCUGUACCUACCAUGCCUCCCAUGGUACCUCCACCAGGUGCUCCCAUGGCACCAGGUCAAGCAGCUAUACCCAGGCCUUCUACACUAGCACCCCCAGCUACUGGUCCGGGCAGUGCUGCUACGCCAACUUCUAGUGGUACCCCCUCCAUGGUGUCAUCAGCUAUGUAUCAAGCCAAUCCAUCAGCAUCAUCUGGGGGCUAUGAAGGUUUCAAUGCCAAUGCUCAGUCAACUGAGGGCAAUCACUGACGUGUUCUCUGCAUAAUUCCAGAGGAGAGUUAUGACCGGAACUAUGUUGUGUUCUUCCUACAGGAAAUUUUUUAUCACACAUAGUUUCAAUUGGAUGACCCGAGAGGACUUAGUGCUACGUAUGGCAUGUUAAGGAACACAAACUUGAUCAGUUGGUAGAUCUGGCAUAACAUGGUUUGCUUACUAUAAUUCCAUACGACGUGAAUCUGACGUGGUCAGACUGAAAGACAAUACGUAAGAGGCAAUUUAUGGGCUGUGUUAUCAGAAUCCCAAUAAUUUUGCAAGAGAACAUGACAAUAAAAUUCAUUUGAAUAAUAUAAAUGAUAUUUUUAUCUUUUAAAA
RNA transcript from Prosopis cineraria, 1206 nucleotides. It is a transcript of the gene named U1 small nuclear ribonucleoprotein C-like, with no coding region annotated. The transcript has 8 exons. NCBI's taxonomy places the organism in Eukaryota, Viridiplantae, Streptophyta, Magnoliopsida, Fabales, Fabaceae. The record is from RefSeq and is a predicted model, not a curated record.